UGGGGAAUAUUGGACAAUGGGCGCAAGCCUGAUCCAGCCAUGCCGCGUGAGUGAUGAAGGCCCUAGGGUUGUAAAGCUCUUUCACCGGUGAAGAUAAUGACGGUAACCGGAGAAGAAGCCCCGGCUAACUUCGUGCCAGCAGCCGCGGUAAUACGAAGGGGGCUAGCGUUGUUCGGAUUUACUGGGCGUAAAGCGCACGUAGGCGGACUUUUAAGUCAGGGGUGAAAUCCCGGGGCUCAACCCCGGAACUGCCUUUGAUACUGGAAGUCUUGAGUAUGGUAGAGGUGAGUGGAAUUCCGAGUGUAGAGGUGAAAUUCGUAGAUAUUCGGAGGAACACCAGUGGCGAAGGCGGCUCACUGGACCAUUACUGACGCUGAGGUGCGAAAGCGUGGGAGCAAACAGG
RNAcentral lists this ribosomal RNA (403 nucleotides) under Brucella melitensis. Its description in RNAcentral is "partial 16S ribosomal RNA". It matches the Rfam family "Bacterial small subunit ribosomal RNA", at positions 355 to 776 of the family's 1533-position model. The record is from RNAcentral. RNAcentral also lists the same sequence under 2 other names. Lineage: Bacteria; Pseudomonadati; Pseudomonadota; Alphaproteobacteria; Hyphomicrobiales; Brucellaceae.